GUGCUUGCUUGGCAACACAUAUACUAAAAUUGGAAUGAUACAGAGAAGAUUAGCAUGGCCCCUACACAAGGAUGACAUGCAAAUUCAUAAAGCAUUCCAUAUUUUU
RNAcentral lists this small nuclear RNA (106 nucleotides) under Physeter macrocephalus (sperm whale). The record is from RNAcentral. Lineage: Eukaryota; Metazoa; Chordata; Mammalia; Artiodactyla; Physeteridae.